UGGGGAAUAUUGGACAAUGGGCGCAAGCCUGAUCCAGCCAUGCCGCGUGGGUGAAGAAGGCCUUCGGGUUGUAAAGCCCUUUUGUUGGGAAAGAAAUCCUGUCGGCUAAUACCCGGCGGGGAUGACGGUACCCAAAGAAUAAGCACCGGCUAACUUCGUGCCAGCAGCCGCGGUAAUACGAAGGGUGCAAGCGUUACUCGGAAUUACUGGGCGUAAAGCGUGCGUAGGCGGUUCGUUAAGUCUGUCGUGAAAGCCCUGGGCUCAACCUGGGAAUUGCGAUGGAUACUGGCGAGCUAGAGUACGGUAAAGGAUGGUGGAAUUCCCGGUGUAGCGGUGAAAUGCGUAGAGAUCGGGAGGAACACCCGUGGCGAAGGCGGCCAUCUGGACCAGUACUGACGCUGAGGCACGAAAGCGUGGGGAGCAAACA
This 427-nucleotide ribosomal RNA is filed under the name uncultured bacterium. Its description in RNAcentral is "bacterial SSU rRNA". It matches the Rfam family "Bacterial small subunit ribosomal RNA", at positions 355 to 774 of the family's 1533-position model. The record is from RNAcentral.